UCUCCGGGGGCGGCGGCCAGGAUGCCGGGCCGCUGCUGAAGCCAGCGGUGCGCUCCCCGGACCGUGUCCAGGUCGUCGAG
Molecule: transfer RNA, 80 nt
Filed under: Streptomyces globisporus
Lineage: Bacteria; Bacillati; Actinomycetota; Actinomycetes; Kitasatosporales; Streptomycetaceae
Description: tRNA-Phe
Source: RNAcentral